AGAGUUUGAUCAUGGCUCAGGAUGAACGCUAGCUACAGGCUUAACACAUGCAAGUCGAGGGGCAGCAUGGACUCAGCUUUGCUGAGUUUGAUGGCGACCGGCGCACGGGUGAGUAACGCGUAUCCAACCUGCCCUUUACUCCGGGAUAGUCUCCUGAAAGGGAGUUUAAUACCGGAUGUGUUUGUUUUUCCGCAUGGGAGCGACAAAUAAAGAUUAAUUGGUAAAGGAUGGGGAUGCGUCCCAUUAGCUUGUUGGCGGGGUAACGGCCCACCAAGGCAACGAUGGGGUAGGGGUUCUGGAGAGGAAGGUCCCCCACAUUGGAACUGAGACACGGUCCAAACUCCUACGGGAGGCA
This 355-nucleotide ribosomal RNA is filed under the name uncultured bacterium. RNAcentral's name for it is "bacterial SSU rRNA". It matches the Rfam family "Bacterial small subunit ribosomal RNA", at positions 8 to 350 of the family's 1533-position model. The record is from RNAcentral.